GCCCAACACAGCUCCGUUAUUGACAUUUAUUUACACCUGGAAAAAAAAUAUACUUGUUCUUCAUGAUGGUAACAGAACAAUGAAAUACAUUCUAUUGAAAAGCUACUGUGCGUAAUAUGAUAACAGGGAGAAAAACAUUAGUGGUUAAUGGUUUGAUAGAAAAAUAUUGUUUAUGCUGAAACAUCUGAGUGUGGUUCGGUGUACACGGUUACUUGUUUUACAAAAAUCUUACUUUUCCAUUUAUAUCAUUCUAUAAUAAUCACCACGGCAACAAAUAAAACAUCCGGUACAGUAACUACCAAUAUAAACAAGCAGAUCAAAAAUACAGAUGUUAGAAAAUAUCCAUCGGUAUAACAAACAGGCAUCGUGUCAAAAGCUAUUCGUUAGAAUAUACCUCUAUAAAAUUCAAGCAUGUUAAAAUAGGUUUGUUCUUCAAAUAUAAAACACCAAUGGUUGCCCAACAACCAGUUUUCACAGGUUUGCACCAUGUGCAUGAAAGAACCUACAUCCGUAUUGCGUCCCAUGAUUCUCUGCUGUGACAAAACAGAACCAGCAUCCUAUAUAAUAAAGCAUUCAUAUGGAUUAGAUAGCGUGACGGUCUUUGGUCGCUCACCGCUUUGUCUUUCAGGCUCAAGGCACCAACAGAAAGGUUGCAUUUCCAUCUUUAAAUAUCCAACAUGCAUUAACUUCAUGGAAUAUGAACAGUUGUGAAGCACAAGCCAUAAAAAUGGGUUUUUAUAAGCACAUUUGGAAUAGAAACACCUAGAAUGUUGUUUUCUGUUGCUCGACACAAUCGACAGAUAAAGUGCAACAAGCUCUUUCUCGAUUUCAAACAAUCAUUUAAAAUGCAUUUCAUCCCGUCACGUGACAUUAAAGCAUUGCAAAACCACACACUUGGUCCUAAAAGAGAUGCAAAAUCAUUCAAAUCAAACUAAUCAGAAAACGAAAGGCACGAGAAACUGCAAAACAAACCAUUUUCACCUCUAUAGCUCAAGCGUGUGUAUUUGAAGACUAGAUCUUGUGUAAGUAUACAGUACAGUAUCACGUUCUGCAUGACGAUGUGUAUAUGAUACUGGAAUCGAAGGAAGCCCACAAUCUCAAUGCAUCGGCACUGAUGAUAAAAUAACUAGACUAGUUCUUUCAGGUCAGGUCAGUGAAGGUGGAAAGGGAAGGAAAGAUGAUGUCUAUUUUCCCUCUUGUGGUUAGUCAGUUUAUGAGUUAAAAUAAAAAUAAAUACAUAUAUAAAACUGCACUGGUCUUUGCUGGGUUUGCCUUCAUUAUGAGAGUUAAGUAAUGCCAGACACCUGCAAUAAUGUGCUUAUUGAGCUCGUAAAGAUGAAAUAUAUUCACACUAGUGUCUCUUCAUCAUCAGUUAUAGGUUAGUAGUGUCGGUCUCUGUAAAACAGACCUGUUAUUGCAAUAUUACAUCAGUGAACACGACUCAAAACACAGCGGACUCUCACGAAAACAUUUCCAGGGAAUGUUUCACCCCAAAAUAUAAUAAAAGCCCAUUUUGAGCCCAUUUUCUUCUCUGUAUCCAUGAUAAUUCACAUCAUUGCAUUAUAUCUUGAUUUAAAAAAAAUACUGAAGUAUUUACCAACUGAAUACUUCUUAUUCUUAUUAUCCAUGACAGUUCUCAUCAUAACUUGAUUUUAAAAAAGGCAAACCAAUCACUGAAAUUAUAUUUUACAAUUUAAUACUUCAGUAUGUCAUUCUGUGACGCGUAAAAAAGAGAUUUGUUGCAUUAUAGUAAAGAUAACUGAGGAAAUGUGUUUAAUUAUCAUGCAAAUACCACAAUGUAAAAAAAUUGCAAUUUUAAUACAAUGGAAAAAAAAUUAAAUUAAACUGAAAACUCAGUGGUGAUUAAUUACCAUGAAAAUAUAAAAUAUCAUUACUGUAAUGCAACAAUGCAACAAAUUCCAUUUUGACAGAACUUACAUAUUUACAUUGUGAAGUAUUAAACUGCUAAAUAU
Molecule: long non-coding RNA, 1973 nt
Organism: Cyprinus carpio carpio
Lineage: Eukaryota; Metazoa; Chordata; Actinopteri; Cypriniformes; Cyprinidae
Source: Ensembl